This 348-nucleotide long non-coding RNA is filed under the name Ananas comosus (pineapple). RNAcentral describes it as "long non-coding RNA (ACOM_LNC034794)". Lineage: Eukaryota; Viridiplantae; Streptophyta; Magnoliopsida; Poales; Bromeliaceae. The record is from RNAcentral.
AGAGUGAAAUGGCCUUAAGACCAUUUAGAGCAACAAAAUCCAGAGAGGUCCCUCAAAAACUCAAAAUUGCAACAGCCCGGUCUGGGCAGUUUUCGCCCAGAGGGACCGGUCUCUCCCUGCAAGGGACCGGUCUCUCGUGUCGAACCCGAGAAACCAACGUUCGGGAACCGGUCUCUCCCUGCGCGGACCGGUUGCCUCGCCGGCUGCGUAACACUGCUCACUGGGGGACCGGUCUCUCCUUUCAGGGACCGGUCCCCGAGAGUAAAAACUCUCAGGACUCGUCCAGAACUCAGGUUUUCGAACUUUCUAGGUCGGAAAACAUUCUACGACCCUCCACCAAGUGUGGAA